RNAcentral lists this ribosomal RNA (466 nucleotides) under uncultured bacterium. Its description in RNAcentral is "partial 16S ribosomal RNA". It matches the Rfam family "Bacterial small subunit ribosomal RNA", at positions 28 to 507 of the family's 1533-position model. The record is from RNAcentral.
GACGAACGCUGGCGGCGCGCCUAACACAUGCAAGUCGAACGAGCGAGCGAGAGCUUGCUUUCUUGAGCGAGUGGCGAACGGGUGAGUAACGCGUGAGGAACCUGCCUCAAAGAGGGGGACAACAGUUGGAAACGACUGCUAAUACCGCAUAAGCCCACGGUGCCGCAUGGCACAGAGGGAAAAGGAGCAAUCCGCUUUGAGAUGGCCUCGCGUCCGAUUAGCUAGUUGGUGAGGUAACGGCCCACCAAGGCGACGAGCGGUAGCCGGACUGAGAGGUUGAACGGCCACAUUGGGACUGCGACACGGCCCAGACUCCUACGGGAGGCAGCAGUGGGGAAUAUUGCACAAUGGGGGAAACCCUGAUGCAGCGACGCCGCGUGGAGGAAGAAGGUCUUCGGAUUGUAAACUCCUGUUGUUGGGGAAGAUAAUGACGGUACCCAACAAGGAAGUGACGGCUAACUACGUG